Argentina anserina (silverweed cinquefoil) is the source of this 792-nucleotide long non-coding RNA. RefSeq lists it as uncharacterized. NCBI's taxonomy places the organism in Eukaryota, Viridiplantae, Streptophyta, Magnoliopsida, Rosales, Rosaceae. The record is from RefSeq and is a predicted model, not a curated record. The transcript has 3 exons.
AGCGGCUUCUUCUCUUUGCUUAUGCUCUUUCUGAUCUCUUCAGUCUUCAGAGUAGUAGUUUGCUCGGGUGGGUGAUGGGAAAAACGAUAGUUUGUUGGAGAGAAGAGGUAAAGUCCUUACCGGAUUUUAAUUGUUUGAUUCAGAAGUCGUCUGCCUUUGUUGGUCUGUGAGUAGUUUUAUUUCCUUUGAGAAUCUGUUUUCUUCUCCUAUGAAGGGAACGGCCAUGUUCUAGUAUGGAGUUCCAUUGAGUUUAGUUAAAAGUUCACUCUUUGGUCUUUCCGUUCUAUGAGAUUCCAAUUCUCCAAUAUUGCUCUUGCAACACAGAUGUGUUGCAGUUUUCCAUUGAAUUCGUUUUUUUCCCCUUGAUUUUCAGUUGAUUGGAGUAAACCUAAGAUAAUACUCAACUCAGAGAUAAACAUGUUAAUCUUUAUUGAGUGGGCUUUAUUGGGUACGUUUCAAGGUAUAGGAGAGAAUAGAUAAUGAAAGACAUGUUUGAUGAUUUUCAUCUAAUAUCUCUAUAUCUCUCCAGAACAUCAUGCUAAUUUCAUUUAUACCUUUUCAGAUUCUGCAAAGAGCUGAAGAGGUAGAACAUGUCGAGGUGUAUAAAUUGGUGCUAAAAUUGUGCGCAGGUUGUUGUUCCUGAUUCCCUGAUGUUUGAGCUCAUUUAAGUCAGCAGAGAUUUGUUGCGCUUUGGAAUGUAAUUGAACAUGAAGUUUGGUCUUGCUGUUGUGGGAGUUUCCUCUUAUAGGUGUGAGAUAUUUCUUUUACUAUGGCAAGUUGUAUAUAACAGAU